Molecule: long non-coding RNA, 3041 nt
Filed under: Homo sapiens (human)
Lineage: Eukaryota; Metazoa; Chordata; Mammalia; Primates; Hominidae
Description: HSALNT0405485
Source: RNAcentral
CUUGCUCUCCUUCUCCCCAUGGUAAAGAUGUGCUUGCUUCCCCUUCAUCUUCUGCCAUGAGCGUAAGUUUCCUGAGGCUUUCCAGCCAUGCUUCCUGUACAGCCUGUGGAACUGUGAGUCAAUUAAACCUAUUUUCUUCAUAGAUUAUGCAGUCUCCGAUAGUUCUUUAUAGCAGUGUGAGAAUGGGCUAACAUAGACAGCAAUCCAGGAAGCCCAUAAAAUAAGAUGACAGGAGCAGAGUCUAGACCAGGUAGACCAGCCAGACAAUGGAGGGGAUUUUUCCUUGUUGCCUGUUGACUUGGAGAACAGCGUACCUUGGGAUUUUCAAACUUUUUUGGAAACUUGAGUUCCUGAGAGGAUCCUGGAGGCAAUGGCAGGGUUCAAGUCCCCACUGACUCUGUUUUGACCUCCUUUCACAAAUCUCUCCCAGAAGAUUUUAUUAGGAGGAUAUGUUUUGCAGCUAAAAAAAAAAAGUUUGAAAAACCCUAUGUUUUGAAGUCAGGCUGCAUAUGUUCACAACCCUGCUCAGCCACAAAGCUGUGUGGCUUUGGGUAAAUUACUUAACUUCUCUGAAUGACUUAAAUUCUUAGUUUCCUAAUCUGUAAAAUGGAAAUAAUAAUUGCACUGACCUUCCAGUUGUUUUGAAGAAUGUGGCAGAUUGUGUUUUUCAAAGAUGGUCAUAACCACAUCUCUCAUUCCUUAUGCCCUUGUAGAAUCUCACCAUUUUCUCAUCAAGAAGUUGAGUGGAAGUUCCCUCUCCUUGAACUUGGGUGGGCAUUUGAAUUGCCUCAAUCAGCAGAGUAGCAUGGAGGUGAUGCUAUGACUUCUGAGGUUAGGUCAUGACAAUGCCAUGCACUUGUGCCUGGUUCUCCUAAGUUACUCCUUCCCAGAACCUGGCUGCCAUGUUGUGAGGAAGCCCAAGAAGCCCAUGGAGAGGAAUGGAGACCCACCCCCAUGCCCCCAGUGGAUAGCUCCUGCUGAGCUCCCAGCUAACAGCUAAAACCAAUUUGCCAAUCAUGUGAGUGAGCUAUUUUGGAGGUGGGUUCUCUGCCCCACAGUUAAGUUGUCUCAGCUGAUGCCAUGUGGAGCUGAGAUGAGCUAUCCCGCUGCACCCUGCAUAAAUUACAGAUUAUGAUUGUUGUUGCUUUAAGGCACCAUGUUUUGGGGUAAUCUGUAAUACAGCAGUAGAUUACUGGAACAAGGAAUAGGUAAGAUAAUGCACAUGAAGUGCUUAGCACCGGACUAGGUGCAUUAGAAGCACUUUUUACACAGGAGAAAUUGAGCACAGAGACAGCGAUGGUUUGGCCCAAGGUCACACAGCUACUGGACAUGUUUUCCCGCUACUGCUUCUGCUUCUUCUCUGCAUGGAGGUAGUGAGGAUGUGACUGUUGAGUUCUGAGCUGAUCCCAGGGCUGGGGGACUAGCUCCUCUCCCCGAAGACUGGCACCCAUUGCUGAGAGCAGGGUUUAUCAACCAGAUCUGGGUAUUUCCAGACAAGCUUGCUGCAAGUCACCUCCUCCCUGCCUCUUCCCUCCCAGGCCCUCAAUGGCUGCCCCAGGAAGGUGGGGAAAAGUGGUUCGACUGGGCAUUGGCAAGUGAAGGGCCCUGGAGGCGGGGAGGGGGCAUCUCCUGGCACCAGCCCCUGCUUCCUGUCUGCCUGCAGCUCCUCUUCCCAAGCAUGAGUGGCUUUGAGGGAGGAUCUGGGUGACUCUUUCCUCUAGGCUUUAAUAAUACUGUUAAUUAAGCAGCCAAGAGAAGAACACGGCUGGCGCCAGCGAGGGGACAAUGGUCUGAAAAGGGAACAGAGAGACGCAUCAACAGCUUCCCAUGCAGGGCUUUCAAAAGAGCAGCUGUGGGGAGCAGGCGGGUGGGGGACAGAAGGGACACCGCCAGAGCCGAUCGCAGUGUGGCUGGGCAGGGAGGCGCUGGGAUGAGCCCAUGCCAGCUGUCCAGCUGUGCUUCUCUCUGGCACCCCCUGCCUUCCCAGCUGGACGAGGGCUUCUCUGGAGCUUCUGGACAGGCUGGAUGAAACAGGCAGCCAGAGGGCACCAGCUGGUCCACCCAGACCCCCCAUGACACCUUAUUUUGCCUCCAUUUCCUCAUCUACAAAAUAGAAGGGUUGAACUAGUUUGCAUUUCUUCUUAUGUGCUGAUCUCAAUAGAAGGUGACUACUUGGAACGUUGACUUGAGAAUUUAGAAGCCGAAUCAAUGCUCCACGGAGAAGCAUGCUGGGAUUGAUUUGUGAUGUCUGCCACGAAUAUAAGAUUGGCCAUUUGGGGCAUGAAUGCUAUUCAUGGAUUGGAUCUCCUAAGAGCCCGAAUUUCUGAGAAACCACUGAAGACCUGACCCCAGCGCUUAAUUAUUUCUCCUUUCCAAGCAUCUCUCAUGGAAGGCAUCUUGGAUGAAAAGACCUUUGGCAGCGUGGGUUUUGCAGGGACCGUCUGGUACCAGGAACUGGCCAAAUGUGAAGGUGUAAAACACAAAGUUCACACCCUGAAGAACCUUCUAGUCCAGUCGGGGAGAUGGACCCAGAAUGUCAGAUUAAGAUUGGCCUGCAUCAGCCCAAAUGGUUCCAUGUUCUUCUUUUUAAUGGCUGCAUAGUACUCCUUUGCAUGGAUGCACCACAGUUCAUUUAACCAGAGUCCUGUUGGCAGGCAUUUCAGAUGUUUGCAAUUUUUCUGUGAGACCAACACCACUGUGAUCAGCAUCCUGUUGCUGUGUGAAAAGUCCAGGCUAGCCUGCUGGAGGAUGAGUGAUGGGUGAAGCAGAGAUGAAUUUUCAGAGCUGGCUUCAUCUGAGACCAGCCAGCCCUAGCUGUGGAAGGCAGACACUUAGCAAACCCAGCCAAGAUCAGCCAAGCCCAUCCCAGGGCAGAAGAACCACCAAGCUGAUCCCAGUCCACAUCUACUUCUGGAAGCACGUGCUAAAUAAAUGGUUGCUGUUUUAAGCCACUGAGCUAUGGGAGGCUUUGUUUCCCAGCAAUAACUAAUUGAUAAAUCAUCAACAGUAAAAUGGAUAAAUGAAUUGUGGUACAGGCACAC